CAGCAGCCGCGGUAAUACGUAGGUGGCAAGCGUUAUCCGGAAUUAUUGGGCGUAAAGGGCUCGCAGGCGGUUUCUUAAGUCUGAUGUGAAAGCCCCCGGCUCAACCGGGGAGGGUCAUUGGAAGCUGGGAAACUUGAGUGCAGAAGAGGAGAGUGGAAUUCCACGUGUAGCGGUGAAAUGCGUAGAGAUGUGGAGGAACACCAGUGGCGAAGGCGACUCUCUGGUCUGUAACUGACGCUGAGGAGCGAAAGCGUGGGGAGCGAACAGGAUUAGAUACCCCGGUAGUCCCUGUCUCUUAUAC
RNAcentral lists this ribosomal RNA (301 nucleotides) under uncultured bacterium. RNAcentral describes it as "partial 16S ribosomal RNA". It matches the Rfam family "Bacterial small subunit ribosomal RNA", at positions 509 to 807 of the family's 1533-position model. The record is from RNAcentral.